This 34-nucleotide small RNA is filed under the name Bombyx mori (domestic silkworm). RNAcentral describes it as "ovarian small RNA-14776". The record is from RNAcentral. Lineage: Eukaryota; Metazoa; Arthropoda; Insecta; Lepidoptera; Bombycidae.
CUGAAAUAUCUUUGCGACCAGGACACGGCGCUGC